UAGUCCACGCCGUAAACGAUCAUCACUCGCUGUUGGCGAUAUACUGUCAGCGGCCAAGCGAAAGUAUUAAGUGAUGCACCUGGGGAGUACGCCGGCAACGGUGAAACUCAAAGGAAUUGACGGGGGGCCCGCACAAGCGGUGGAGCAUGUGGUUUAAUUCGAUGAUACGCGAGGAACCUUACCAGGGCUUAAAUGUAGUAUGACCGGUCUGGAAACAGGCCUUCCCUUCGGGGCAGAUUACAAGGUGCUGCAUGGUUGUCGUCAGCUCGUGCCGUGAGGUGUUAGGUUAAGUCCUGCAACGAGCGCAACCCCUGUCCUUAGUUGCCAGCCUUAAGUUGGGCACUCUAAGGAGACUGCCGGUGACAAACCGGGAGGAAGGUGGGGACGACGUCAAGUCAUCAUGGCCCUUACGAGUAGGGGCUACACACGUGCUACAAUGGGAU
This 443-nucleotide ribosomal RNA is filed under the name uncultured bacterium. RNAcentral describes it as "bacterial SSU rRNA". It matches the Rfam family "Bacterial small subunit ribosomal RNA", at positions 791 to 1236 of the family's 1533-position model. The record is from RNAcentral.